GACGAACGCUGGCGGCGUGCUUAACACAUGCAAGUCGAACGGAAAGGCCCUGCUUUUGUGGGGUGCUCGAGUGGCGAACGGGUGAGUAACACGUGAGUAACCUGCCCUUGACUUUGGGAUAACUUCAGGAAACUGGGGCUAAUACCGGAUAGGAGCUCCUGCUGCAUGGUGGGGGUUGGAAAGUUUCGGCGGUUGGGGAUGGACUCGCGGCUUACCAGCUUGUUGGUGGGGUAGUGGAUUACCAGGGCUUUGACGGGUAGCCGGCCUGAGAGGGUGACCGGCCACAUUGGGACUGAGAUACGGCCCAGACGCCUACGUGAGGCAGCAGUGGGGAAUAUUGCACAAUGGGCGGAAGCCUGAUGCAGCAACGCCGCGUGCGGGAUGACGGCCUUCGGGUUGUAAACCGCUUUCGCCUGUGACGAAGCGUGAGUGACGGUAAUGGGUAAAGAAGCACCGGCUAUCUACGUG
This 468-nucleotide ribosomal RNA is filed under the name uncultured bacterium. Its description in RNAcentral is "partial 16S ribosomal RNA". It matches the Rfam family "Bacterial small subunit ribosomal RNA", at positions 28 to 507 of the family's 1533-position model. The record is from RNAcentral.